UCCGUAGGUGAACCUGCGGAAGGAUCAUUAACAAAGUUCGCUUCUCUGAAGCAACUGAUCUCUAACACCUGUGCAUCUUGUCGCUCCGGCGAUAUAUCAAACAUCAGUGUAAAGAAUGUAAUUUAUUAUAACAAAUACAACUUUCAACAACGGAUCUCUUGGCUCUCGCAUCGAUGAAGAACGCAGCGAAAUGCGAUAAGUAAUGUGAAUUGCAGAAUUCAGUGAAUCAUCGAAUCUUUGAACGCACAUUGCGCCUUUUGGUAUUCCGAAAGGCAUGCCUGUUUGAGUGUCAUAUUAUCUCUCAGAUGUAGUUUUCUAUAUAUGAGCUUUGGACGUUGCCAGCAAUGGCUCGUCUUAAAUGACUAAGUGGAAUGCGUAAUAAGUUUUCGCUCCCUUCACUCUAAUAACUCUUAUGUUAGACCUCAAAUCAGGUAGGACUACCCGCUGAACUUAAGCAUAUCAAUAAGCGGAGGA
RNAcentral lists this ribosomal RNA (474 nucleotides) under Hannaella sinensis. RNAcentral describes it as "eukaryotic LSU rRNA". The stretch from base 139 to 292 matches the Rfam family "5.8S ribosomal RNA". Lineage: Eukaryota; Fungi; Basidiomycota; Tremellomycetes; Tremellales; Bulleribasidiaceae. The record is from RNAcentral.